Molecule: ribosomal RNA, 252 nt
Filed under: uncultured prokaryote
Description: partial 16S ribosomal RNA
Rfam family: Bacterial small subunit ribosomal RNA
Source: RNAcentral
ACGUAGGAGGCAAGCGUUAUCCGGGGUUACUGGGCGUAAAGGGCGUGCAGGCGGUUGGCUAAGUUCGUUGUGAAAGCGCCCAGGCUUAACCGGGCGAGGACAAUGAAGACUGGUCAGCUAGAGGACGGUAGAGGUGACCGGAACGUGUGGUGGAGCGGUGAAAUGCGUAGAUAUCACACGGAACGCCGGUGGUGAAAACGGGUCACUGGGCCUGUCCUGACGCUGAGACGCGAGAGCGUGGGGAGCAAACAG